CUAUAAUGCAGUCGAGCGGACAGAUGGGAGCUUGCUCCCUGAUGUUAGCGGCGGACGGGUGAGUAACACGUGGGUAACCUGCCUGUAAGACUGGGAUAACUCCGGGAAACCGGGGCUAAUACCGGAUGGUUGUUUGAACCGCAUGGUUCAAACAUAAAAGGUGGCUUCGGCUACCACUUACAGAUGGACCCGCGGCGCAUUAGCUAGUUGGUGAGGUAACGGCUCACCAAGGCAACGAUGCGUAGCCGACCUGAGAGGGUGAUCGGCCACACUGGGACUGAGACACGGCCCAGACUCCUACGGGAGGCAGCAGUAGGGAAUCUUCCGCAAUGGACGAAAGUCUGACGGAGCAACGCCGCGUGAGUGAUGAAGGUUUUCGGAUCGUAAAGCUCUGUUGUUAGGGAAGAACAAGUACCGUUCGAAUAGGGCGGUACCUUGACGGUACCUAACCAGAAAGCCACGGCUAACUACGUGCCAGCAGCCGCGGUAAUACGUAGGUGGCAAGCGUUGUCCGGAAUUAUUGGGCGUAAAGGGCUCGCAGGCGGUUUCUUAAGUCUGAUG
Molecule: ribosomal RNA, 561 nt
Filed under: Bacillus subtilis
Lineage: Bacteria; Bacillati; Bacillota; Bacilli; Caryophanales; Bacillaceae
Description: bacterial SSU rRNA
Rfam family: Bacterial small subunit ribosomal RNA
Source: RNAcentral